GACGAACGCUGGCGGCGUGCCUAAUACAUGCAAGUCGUGCGGACCUUUUAAAAGCUUGCUUUUAAAAGGUUAGCGGCGGACGGGUGAGUAACACGUGGGCAACCUGCCUGUAAGACUGGGAUAACGCCGGGAAACCGGGGCUAAUACCAGAUAGUUUUUUCCUCCGCAUGGAGGAAAAAGGAAAGGCGGCUUCGGCUGCCACUUACAGAUGGGCCCGCGGCGCAUUAGCUAGUUGGCGGGGUAACGGCCCACCAAGGCAACGAUGCGUAGCCGACCUGAGAGGGUGAUCGGCCACAUUGGGACUGAGACACGGCCCAAACUCCUACGGGAGGCAGCAGUAGGGAAUCUUCCGCAAUGGACGAAAGUCUGACGGAGCAACGCCGCGUGAGUGAAGAAGGCCUUCGGGUCGUAAAACUCUGUUGCCGGGGAAGAACAAGUGCCGUUCGAACAGGGCGGCGCCUUGACGGUACCCGGCCAGAAAGCCACGGCUAACUACGUGCCAGCAGCCGCGGUAAUACGUAGGUGGCAAGCGUUGUCCGGAAUUAUUGGGCGUAAAGCGCGCGCAGGCGGCUUCUUAAGUCUGAUGUGAAAUCUUGCGGCUCAACCGCAAGCGGUCAUUGGAAACUGGGAGGCUUGAGUGCAGAAGAGGAGAGUGGAAUUCCACGUGUAGCGGUGAAAUGCGUAGAGAUGUGGAGGAACACCAGUGGCGAAGGCGGCUCUCUGGUCUGUAACUGACGCUGAGGCGCGAAAGCGUGGGGAGCAAACAGGAUUAGAUACCCUGGUAGUCCACGCCGUAAACGAUGAGUGCUAAGUGUUAGAGGGUUUCCGCCCUUUAGUGCUGCAGCUAACGCAUUAAGCACUCCGCCUGGGGAGUACGGCCGCAAGGCUGAAACUCAAAGGAAUUGACGGGGGCCCGCACAAGCGGUGGAGCAUGUGGUUUAAUUCGAAGCAACGCGAAGAACCUUACCAGGUCUUGACAUCCUCUGACCUCCCUGGAGACAGGGCCUUCCCCUUCGGGGGACAGAGUGACAGGUGGUGCAUGGUUGUCGUCAGCUCGUGUCGUGAGAUGUUGGGUUAAGUCCCGCAACGAGCGCAACCCUUGACCUUAGUUGCCAGCAUUGAGUUGGGCACUCUAAGGUGACUGCCGGUGAC
Molecule: ribosomal RNA, 1152 nt
Filed under: Heyndrickxia coagulans
Lineage: Bacteria; Bacillati; Bacillota; Bacilli; Caryophanales; Bacillaceae
Description: bacterial SSU rRNA
Rfam family: Bacterial small subunit ribosomal RNA
Source: RNAcentral